GUCCGGGCCGGGUGAGUUUUCCCGUGUUGGACACUAUGAGGAUUGACAGAUUGAGAGCUCUUUCUUGAUAUAGUGGGUGGUGGUGCAUGGCCGUUCUUAGUUGGUGGAGCGAUUUGUCUGGUUAAUUCCGAUAACGAACGAGACUUUGGCCUGCUAACUAGUAAGCCUGUCCUUUGUUCUCGCGCGGGUGGCGGUAACUGUUGCCUUUCGGGGUGAUGGUGCCGUGCGCCGGCGAGGGCUGCGCAGGUAUAUACUUCUUAGAGGGACAAGCGGAAU
Molecule: ribosomal RNA, 276 nt
Filed under: Plagiorchiida sp. DN1987
Lineage: Eukaryota; Metazoa; Platyhelminthes; Trematoda; Plagiorchiida
Description: partial small subunit ribosomal RNA
Rfam family: Eukaryotic small subunit ribosomal RNA
Source: RNAcentral